AUACGAAUGGAGCAAGCGUUGUUCGGAAUCACUGGGCGUAAAGCGUACGUAGGUGGAUUUUUAAGUCAGAAGUGAAAGCCCAGGGCUCAACCCUGGAACUGCUUUUGAAACUGGAAGUCUAGAGUCCCGGAGAGGUUAGGGGAAUUCCGAGUGUAGCAGUGAAAUGCGCAGAUAUUCGGAGGAACACCAGUGGCGUAGGCGCCUAACUGGACGGGAACUGACGCUGAGGUACGAAAGCGUGGGGAGCAAACGGGAUUAGAAACCCUAGUAGUCC
This 274-nucleotide ribosomal RNA is filed under the name uncultured bacterium. Its description in RNAcentral is "partial 16S ribosomal RNA". It matches the Rfam family "Bacterial small subunit ribosomal RNA", at positions 523 to 796 of the family's 1533-position model. The record is from RNAcentral.